AAAAUUGCCACUUGAUGAGGGCACCAUCUACAGCACACUAGUGCAUUUGUUUUUAAUUAUUUAUUUGAGUUUAAAAUAAAAAGAAGGGAAACCAGCUAUUAUAGGGAGACUGUCACUUGCAUCCUAUUAAAAAAAAAGAAAAAAAAAAGAACCCAAUGGGAGAAAUACAAUAGAGCCAUUUAGUGAAAACAUAUAACCCAAACUAGGGUUUCUCACCCAGACAAUCGGAGAACAACGCUUCAACUCCUAGUCACUUCAACACUUCUGGCCCAUCAUCAAUCACCCGCGAGAGAGAUGUGCAAAACACUGGGUAUUUAACGUGCAAAGCUUCUAACUUGAAUAUUUCUUCCCUUCUUUUGAAAUCAUAUGUGUUGCUAAACUUAGACAAAGAAAAGUUAAUGCUCAACUGCGG
This 412-nucleotide long non-coding RNA is filed under the name Prunus persica (peach). Its description in RNAcentral is "long non-coding RNA (PPER_LNC003699)". The record is from RNAcentral. Lineage: Eukaryota; Viridiplantae; Streptophyta; Magnoliopsida; Rosales; Rosaceae.